CCAGCUGAGCCGCCCUCUAAAAACAAUCCAUAUUAGUGUGGUUCUUCUGAAAAAGUACGUCUUCACCCAACUGUCAGGAGACAGCGGGCAUCAUCCAAUCCGUAUUCGGCAUUCAUGGAAGGAAAUGCCAAAAAAAACCCAACAUCGCCAGGGAAUAGCACAGGCAUACAAGUGACACCCUAGACGGCUCAGACAAGAACAUACUGUACUUAGGACCUACUGAAAAGCACAGCUUUGUAUCACUCACUCCAGCAGUUUGCCGAGGACUGUCGCGGUUACACCGAGGUUUUGUGUUUGUCGGCGUUGCGGAAGAUAUGCCCCAUCAACCCCCCUCUCCCACUGAUUUAAAUGGAGGGGCCCUGUCUUGGCUUUUGCGAGAGGGAGGGAGAGAGAAGAUGCAAAUGGAGAGAUUUGGUAGACCGCUGGACGGGGUGGACUCGGAGCAAGGGUCUGAAGGGCAGCGACGAUCGGAGGAAGUCAUUGGGGACCAAUUGGCCUAUGUGUUAGCUCCAAGUUUAAUAAGAUUUGGGCCUUUUUUCUUUUGUUUUGUUUCCCUACUAACCAUAUAGUCAAAGUAAGGGUUAUAAAGCUUAAUUGUUUAAUCACA
Hypanus sabinus (Atlantic stingray) is the source of this 607-nucleotide long non-coding RNA. RefSeq lists it as uncharacterized. NCBI's taxonomy places the organism in Eukaryota, Metazoa, Chordata, Chondrichthyes, Myliobatiformes, Dasyatidae. The transcript is spliced from 4 exons. The record is from RefSeq and is a predicted model, not a curated record.